Molecule: long non-coding RNA, 232 nt
Filed under: Zostera marina
Lineage: Eukaryota; Viridiplantae; Streptophyta; Magnoliopsida; Alismatales; Zosteraceae
Description: long non-coding RNA (ZMAR_LNC003421)
Source: RNAcentral
CAACUUUAUAAGUGACCAAAACUCCAACUUUACAUCCAAGGUUUCCUAUACUCCUUCAUGUUGUGAUCAAAGUGCUCAAUCUUUAAAAAAGUUUCAAAAGCUCUUCAUUUCUUACUCCUACUCUCUAAGAUCUUCAAAGCAAGUAAGAAGUGAUUUAUGUUUCAAUAUUUCCCAUCUCCUACCAUCAUUCUUGUGUGUUUCACUUUGGUUGAGAGGGUUGUUUCAAGACCAC